UUGGAGGGCAAGUCUGGUGCCAGCAGCCGCGGUAAUUCCAGCUCCAAUAGCGUAUAUUAAAGUUGCUGCAGUUAAAAAGCUCGUAGUUGAAUUUCGGAACCAAUAUGUUGGUUGUGCCUCGGUACGUACUGGCAUUGUUGGUUUCUCCCUUCUGACGAACUUUGAUGUCAUUAAUUUGGUGUCAUGGGGAAUCAGGACUGUUACUUUGAAAAAAUUAGAGUGUUUAAAGCAGGCUCACGCUUGAAUACAUUAGCAUGGAAUAAUGAAAUAGGACGUUUGAUUCUAUUUUGUUGGUUUCUAGGAUUGACGUAAUGAUUAAUAGGGAUAGUUGGGGGCAUUAGUAUUCAAUUGUCAGAGGUGAAAUUCUUGGAUUUAUUGAAGACUAACUACUGCGAAAGCAUUUGCCAAGGAUGUUUUCAUUAAUCAAGAACGAAAGUUAGGGGAUCGAAGACGAUCAGAUACCGUCGUAGUCUUAACCAUAAACUAUGCCGACUAGGGAUCGGAUGAUGUUAAUUUUUUAAUGACUCAUUCGGCACCUUACGGGAAAC
This 548-nucleotide ribosomal RNA is filed under the name uncultured Glomus. RNAcentral describes it as "SSU rRNA". It matches the Rfam family "Eukaryotic small subunit ribosomal RNA", at positions 548 to 1098 of the family's 1831-position model. The record is from RNAcentral. Lineage: Eukaryota; Fungi; Glomeromycota; Glomeromycetes; Glomerales; Glomeraceae.